GAUCCUGGCUCAGGAUGAACGCUAGCUACAGGCUUAACACAUGCAAGUCGAGGGGUAGCAGGGUAGCAAUACCGCUGACGACCGGCGCACGGGUGAGUAACACGUAUCCAACCUUCCCAUAACUCAGGGAUAGCCUUUCGAAAGAAAGAUUAAUACCUGAUAGUACUUUUUCAAGGCAUCUUGAGAAAGUUAAAGAUUUAUUGGUUAUGGAUGGGGAUGCGUUCCAUUAGAUAGUUGGUGAGGUAACGGCUCACCAAGUCUUCGAUGGAUAGGGGUUCUGAGAGGAAGGUCCCCACAUUGGUACUGAGACACGGACCAAACUCCUACGGGAGGCAGCAGUGAGGAAUAUUGGUCAAUGGGCGAGAGCCUGAACCAGCCAAGUAGCGUGAAGGAUGAAGGUCCUAUGGAUUGUAAACUUCUUUUAUAGUAGAAUAAAGUGAUCCACGUGUGGAUUUUUGUAUGUAUACUAUGAAUAAGGAUCGGCUAACUCCGUGCCAGCAGCCGC
RNAcentral lists this ribosomal RNA (505 nucleotides) under uncultured bacterium. Its description in RNAcentral is "bacterial SSU rRNA". It matches the Rfam family "Bacterial small subunit ribosomal RNA", at positions 15 to 518 of the family's 1533-position model. The record is from RNAcentral.